This 154-nucleotide small RNA is filed under the name Muricomes intestini. Its description in RNAcentral is "Clostridiales-1 RNA". It matches the Rfam family "Clostridiales-1 RNA". The record is from RNAcentral. Lineage: Bacteria; Bacillati; Bacillota; Clostridia; Lachnospirales; Lachnospiraceae.
UGAUACCAGGGUCAAAAGGUCAUGCGUUCCAUGCUUGCAUGAAAAAGCAUGACUUUGGGACCCGCAAAACAUGAGAAAGUAGCCCGAGCAGGGCGGAUUUCGAAUGUUUUUAGGAUUGCGGGAGCACAAAGUGCGGAGCAAUCCGUAGGUAUUA